Molecule: ribosomal RNA, 468 nt
Filed under: uncultured bacterium
Lineage: Bacteria
Description: partial 16S ribosomal RNA
Rfam family: Bacterial small subunit ribosomal RNA
Source: RNAcentral
GACGAACGCUGGCGGCGUGCUUAACACAUGCAAGUCGAACGGAAAGGCCCUGCUUUUGUGGGGUGCUCGAGUGGCGAACGGGUGAGUAACACGUGAGUAACCUGCCCUUGACUUUGGGAUAACUUCAGGAAACUGGGGCUAAUACCGGAUAGGAGCUCCUGCUGCAUGGUGGGGGUUGGAAAGUUUCGGCGGUUGGGGAUGGACUCGCGGCUUAUCAGCUUGUUGGUGGGGUAGUGGCUUACCAAGGCUUUGACGGGUAGCCGGCCUGAGAGGGUGACCGGCCACAUUGGGACUGAGGUACGGCCCAGACUCCUACGGGAGGCAGCAGUGGGGAAUAUUGCACAAUGGGCGGAAGCCUGAUGCAGCAACGCCGCGUGCGGGAUGACGGCCUUCGGGUUGUAACCCGCUUUCGCCUGUGACGAAGCGUGAGUGACGGUAAUGUGUAAAGAAGCACCGGCUAACUACGUG